AGGCCUGAACCAGACAGCAUCUUUGGGAAAGGUAUCAAAGUUGCUUCAUUUAUAUCCUUGUCUAUGACCUGCUGAGCACGUGUGUGACUGGAUGCCCUUUCUUCCUCUGUGGACAACAGAAAGUCAUCAGCACCUAAGGAGUGCAGCUGUUGAUAAGUAACAGGGGUUGAAGGACGUGCACAACUGAAAGGAGAAGUCUCUUCUUGUUCCUGAUGCUCCAUUUGUUCCGAAAAUGACUCUAAAAUCAAGUUUAGUGAAAGCAACAUUUGUAAUGUAUUAAUUUAAUUUCUGGGUACUUCGUCACAAACACAGUAUGUUAUAGCAGUAUAUAUUGCUGACACUGGUGCAACUAAGAAAUCUGCUCAGAGAGAUUGCCACUAAGUGGGAAAAUGCCAAAGUGCAUGAAUGACUUUGUCACUUUUAGAACAUCAACACCUGAUGUUUUCCUUUGUAGGCUUGAGACAGCUUCUCUCCCAAACACACCACCUGGACACAACACGAAAAAGCAAUGCUUUGGCUGGGUGGUGGCGGCGCACACCUUUAAUUGAAACACUUGGGAGGCAGAGGCUGGUGGAUCUCUCUGAGUUCAAGGCCAGCCUGGUCUGCAGAGUGAACUCCAGAACAGCCAGGACUGUUACACAGAGAAACACUGUCUGGAAAAACAACCCCCCCCCCACCCCAAAGAAAAAGCAAUGCUUCCUUCAUUCCUACAUUGCAGAUGAGCCUGUGCUGUUCUUCAGUGUGCUCAAAAAGUACCUGGGUCUGUAAGGCUCAAAUCUGUGAGUUCAUAACUUAAGAAGCUUCCAGUAGAAACAGUUACUGAAGAUAACGGCUCCUGAGAAAUGUCUUGUGUUUCAGCCUAAAAUUUCAAAGGAGCAGAACACAACUGUAAUGGCCCUGGCUGGAGUGAAACAUAACUGCUACAUCCCUGCGGGGAAACCCCCUUAGCAGAGCAGAGCUGUAACUGAAGCCCCUUGAGCCACUCAAGUGACAGGCCUUUCCCCUGAGGACCUCCAACUGCCAGCUUCCACCCACAGAAAACUAACUGCCCUAAAUGCUGGACCCUGCCCCCACCCUGCAGAGUGAAAAAGCCCAAUCUCUGGAUGUGAAAUCCCAAUCAACCCUGAAAAGUUCUACCCGCUUCCCAAGAAACUCUCUAUAAGCCCUGUACCCUGUUCAGUUUGCUGCUGCUUCUCACCCGAGCAGACGCAGCUACCGUCGUGUUCUCCCCCUGCCAAUAAAUCUCUUGUGUGA
Molecule: long non-coding RNA, 1254 nt
Organism: Mesocricetus auratus (golden hamster)
Lineage: Eukaryota; Metazoa; Chordata; Mammalia; Rodentia; Cricetidae
Exons: 3
Source: RefSeq, a predicted model, not a curated record